Long non-coding RNA from Nycticebus coucang (slow loris), 1906 nucleotides. RefSeq lists it as uncharacterized. The record is from RefSeq and is a predicted model, not a curated record. Lineage: Eukaryota; Metazoa; Chordata; Mammalia; Primates; Lorisidae. The transcript has 8 exons.
CCCACCCAUUCUUCCCCCAGGCUUACAUUUGCUCCAUCAGGACAUCCUCCUCCUCCUCCUGGGGCAGCUGCAAAUAUGGAUUGUCCCCAGCAGGUUGGAACUUAUAGCCCGUGAGCACAAAGAAGGCUCACCUGGUACAGCCAUUGCCACUGGAAGGGCACUGCCACCCGGAGCAAGAUGGCGAUGAUGCGGGUGAAGUAGACGUAACAGAUGACCUGCGGGGGCAAGAUGCCUCCUGGAGAUGCCGGAUGGACCUGGGAUGAGGGGUACACAGGGCAUGGUCAGCACUGGCUCCACCCAUGGGUACAGAGGGUAGAAUCUCAGCUAGGUCCUCACCAGACUACAGGGAAGAGGAUUGCACCGCAGCAAAUGAGGUCCACCAGGAAGAGGAUCUCCUUCCAGAGCCCGUAGUCGCUGGCACCCUCUUCACGGGACUCAAUGACAAUGUAGGCUAUGUUGGCCAGGACCUGUGUGGCCAGAGCAGGGACAUACUUGACAAAGGCCCAGCCUGAGCCAAUCAAAGCGAUGGUGAUGAAGAGGAGAGCACCCUUUAGCCUGGUGGAGCAGAGGGAUGGUGUGAUAAUGAAGUCAGGUGGGCUCAGCCUUCACUUGCCCACUUCUCUGCACUUGCUGGGCAGAUAAGGGACACUCACAGAGGACUGACACCCAGAAGAUGCCAGCAGCUAGGAAGCAGGCGGACAUGACCAUGUAGAGCUUGAAAAGGGGAAUCUCUGUGGCUGACAGGAAGCCCCCAGGGUUCUUCUCCCGGAUCAUCACCUGUUGGCUCAUCUCUCAACACCUUCUGCUACCUCCCACUGCCACUGAAGGGCUGUCCAGAGCUCAACUCCUGGCCUAUGGUAACAUGAGGAAACUGAAGCUCAGAAAAACCAAUGGACUUGCCCAAGAUCACACGAGUAAAAAAGAAGAGCUAGGAAGGGAACCCAGAACUGGAAGUGUGAAGAACUCCUGACCCCGCCUCGCCCCCGGGGGUGAGUACCACCAUAGAGCAGUUAUUCACUUUGGUGUGCCUGGCCUUCCCCUCAGGGAUGUGAAGGUGUAUGUGUGUGUGAAGGUUAUGCACUCUGUCCUCUUCCGGCAAUCUCCUCAAACCCCCUCACCAGCAAGGACUUCUCUUCUGCCUCCUGGAGGCCCAGACGCAGCAGGCUGAGCUCCACCUCCAGGGAGCCAUUCGUGUAGAAGCCGAAGCUGUUCAGCUGGAUGUCUGCUCGCUUCUCCCCCUACCGGCAGACCAAGGAGGUAGAAGCGCCUCAGACUUCUCAUCACCAGACCAGCCCUAGGACUCUGGCAUGAGACACCCUCUCCCACGCCCACCAAGGGCCUCCUGGGACCCCUUUAUUUAGAACAGGCACACAGAAUGACAAGAGAGCGUGAGGAUGCUUGGUUCCCUGAAGUUUUCUGGCCGCUGUUCAGAGAGGGUCCAGGAAGGGAAAUCUCGUGACACCUGACCCCGCCUCGCCCCCGGAAGUGAGUACCACCAUAGAGCAGUUAUUCACUUUGGUGUGCCUGGCCUUCCCCUCUGGGAUUUUUUUAGGUUGCAAAUGAGCUCCCCUAUAGUGCUGAGCUUUCAACUGAGCCCCUAAAAUCCCAAUGAGCUCCCAGAGGAACCCACUCCAGAACCCCCAGGAUUCCCCAGCUCCCCACGAAAGGCGUUAAGAGUCCCGGGAGCCCCCAAAAUGACUGCAUAAAUUUAAAGGGAUAAGACUCCAGGGGUCCUAAGAAAUGGAGCUCCGCCUCCGAUGGGCGGGGCGCGACCCCCGCGUGGCCCGCCCGGCAACUCCACCCAAGGACUGCGGGGGAUCCUGGGACGAGACCACUUCGGCACCAGCCGGUGGAUGCGCCCGGAGCAGCCGCCAAACAACAGUAGCAGAAGUAGCCGCUGCCCCCA